RNAcentral lists this long non-coding RNA (595 nucleotides) under Sparus aurata (gilthead seabream). RNAcentral's name for it is "lncRNA (ENSSAUG00010006266.1)". Lineage: Eukaryota; Metazoa; Chordata; Actinopteri; Spariformes; Sparidae. The record is from RNAcentral.
GAACAAAUUAUCCAACUUGAGGAUUCGCAAGGUAGAGUCACCCUGAAAGUAUCAAAUGAGUUGGCAGAAAGGAUUGCAACUGAUCAACAUUACUUGGUACAGGUGCAGAGGGAUGUGCGAAUGUACCAAAAAACACAAGCCCCAAUAUUUGUGCCCCUGGGUCCAAUUCAGAGGCCAUCACCACCAGCCCCCUCUGCAGGUCCAAGCGCUGCAGGUCCAGGCGCCCACUCAUUUCAGGAUUUCCCACCAAGUACACUAUAGAAGCUGAAAAUAGAUAAAGUACAUUGAAAUGCAAGCACAAACAUGACUAAUCUAUCUGUACUCACAUUCACAGAUGUGAAACACGAAGCCACAACAUCACCCCAGAAAAUAUUCGUAAAAAAAUGGCCAACAUGCUGGUAACAUACAAGCCAGCUAAAGAUCGCAGCCGAUCAACAGGCGAGGCAAGAGUCAGCUGGGAGUACUUUAAUGUAAGAAGAAUGUAUUUGUCUUCUUCUUCUUCAUCUUUCCUGGUAGUGAUAAUUGUAUAGCCUACAUUUGUCUUACUUGGCCUAAACCAAAAUGCUUACUAAAGCAAAAGUAACAUAUGGACAAU